RNAcentral lists this long non-coding RNA (793 nucleotides) under Portunus trituberculatus (swimming crab). Its description in RNAcentral is "uncharacterized LOC123506107, transcript variant X1". The record is from RNAcentral. Lineage: Eukaryota; Metazoa; Arthropoda; Malacostraca; Decapoda; Portunidae.
UAUACCGGUAUUCAUAAUGUCCAUCAAUAUUAAAGUGAUGCUUAUUUAGGUGAGGAAAAACUGCCUCGAAGAUGUAAGUCCGGGAGACUCCUGCAUCGAACAAUGAGGGUUGAGGCAGGAGACCGUAGUUGACUGGCCGUCGUGGAGUAGUAGUGGCGAAUGGCGGUGAGCAGCUGGGACUAUCUGCAUAUGUAACGAACUCCUGGUCUGCAAGAUUGAUAUAGAUUCUAGCAGAGUCUCCACCACCACCACCACCACCACCACCACCAUGACCUUCCUGGAGGAGGCGAUGGGGGCGGCUGGCUUCGAGGAGCAACUUUAUGUAACUGGCUUCACUACAUCAGGACGAUUACACUUCCCUGGACGACUCGAUGGCUUGUGGCUUGUGACGAGGCCGGAGACGAGGAGGGGCAGCCUGUGAGAUGCUUGAAAGAACUCAUCCAAUUAGUCUGCCUUGCUGUGCCUUCAGAAGUGGCGUCCAGCAGCCGUACACGCCGCCGCACGUCACUCAGCCUCCUCCGUCGAGUGUCUCAUCGAGGGAUCGUGACGUAGCAGGAGGGAAGGAAGAGAGGACGGGAAGUGUCUUCGCGGUAUCAAAUUGCUGGUUUUUGCCUCUGGACUCUUGCGUAUGCCAGCACAGGUGAGGGAGGAGCCAGCACAGAUACAAGAUGGUUCAGAAUUUACCACUGCAGAAGCACCAAUCAAUGGAGCAGCUCCUCACACUAUGCUACACCACUGACAUGUGACAUCUUUUACUGCUCGCAUUUCAAACCACGUCUUAAUCUCUUUGAAG